AUGGAGCUCGGUCUCCAUAGGAUCCGGUUCCCUCCACCGUACGCGUGCUCACCAAGGGCGGCCAUCGCGCCCUACGGCGACUACUGGCGCCAGAUGCACCGCAUCGCCGUCAACGAGCUCCUCACGAUGCGUCGCGUCCUCUCCUUCCGCGCCAUCCGGGAGGAGGAGGUCGCCGCCAUGCUCUGGGCCGUCGCAUCCAUCGGGGAUGGCGGCGCCGUGGUUGACAUGCACGCGCGACUGUCGUGCUCGUGGCCGACAGCACGCUGCGCGUGA
Molecule: ribosomal RNA, 273 nt
Filed under: Triticum aestivum (bread wheat)
Lineage: Eukaryota; Viridiplantae; Streptophyta; Magnoliopsida; Poales; Poaceae
Description: partial small subunit ribosomal RNA
Source: RNAcentral